CAGUAGCCACGGGAACACGAAGGGGGCUAGCGUUGUUCGGAAUUACUGGGCGUAAAGCGCACGUAGGCGGAUAUUUAAGUCAGGGGUGAAAUCCCAGAGCUCAACUCUGGAACUGCCUUUGAUACUGGGUAUCUUGAGUAUGGAAGAGGUGAGUGGAAUUCCGAGUGUAGAGGUGAAAUUCGUAGAUAUUCGGAGGAACACCAGUGGCGAAGGCGGCUCACUGGUCCAUUACUGACGCUGAGGUGCGAAAGCGUGGGGAGCAAACAGGAUUAGAUACCCGGGUAGUCCCUGUCUCUUAUAC
RNAcentral lists this ribosomal RNA (301 nucleotides) under uncultured bacterium. RNAcentral describes it as "partial 16S ribosomal RNA". It matches the Rfam family "Bacterial small subunit ribosomal RNA", at positions 509 to 807 of the family's 1533-position model. The record is from RNAcentral.